This 503-nucleotide ribosomal RNA is filed under the name uncultured Actinomycetes bacterium. RNAcentral describes it as "bacterial SSU rRNA". It matches the Rfam family "Bacterial small subunit ribosomal RNA", at positions 355 to 860 of the family's 1533-position model. The record is from RNAcentral. Lineage: Bacteria; Bacillati; Actinomycetota; Actinomycetes.
UGGGGAAUAUUGCACAAUGGGCGCAAGCCUGAUGCAGCAACGCCGCGUGCGGGAUGACGGCCUUCGGGUUGUAAACCGCUUUUAGUAAGGAAGAAGGGGAGCUUGCUCCUUGACGGUACUUGCAGAAAAAGGACCGGCUAACUACGUGCCAGCAGCCGCGGUAAUACGUAGGGUCCGAGCGUUGUCCGGAAUUAUUGGGCGUAAAGAGCUCGUAGGCGGUUUGUCGCGUCUGCUGUGAAAUCCCGAGGCUCAACCUCGGGCCUGCAGUGGGUACGGGCAGACUGGAGUGCGGUAGGGGAGAAUGGAAUUCCUGGUGUAGCGGUGGAAUGCGCAGAUAUCAGGAGGAACACCGAUGGCGAAGGCAGUUCUCUGGGCCGUAACUGACGCUGAGGAGCGAAAGCGUGGGGAGCGAACAGGAUUAGAUACCCUGGUAGUCCACGCCGUAAACGUUGGGCGCUAGAUGUGGGGACCUUUCCACGGUUUCCGUGUCGUAGCUAACGCAU